UACGGGGGGAGCAAGCGUUGUUCGGAUUUACUGGGCGUAAAGGGCGCGUAGGCGGCACUGUAAGUCAGUUGUGAAAUCUCCGGGCUUAACCCGGAAAGGUCAACUGAUACUGCAGGGCUAGAGUGCAGAAGGGGCAACUGGAAUUCUCGGUGUAGCGGUGAAAUGCGUAGAUAUCGAGAGGAACACCUGCGGCGAAGGCGGGUUGCUGGGCUGACACUGACGCUGAGGCGCGAAAGCCAGGGGAGCGAACGGG
Molecule: ribosomal RNA, 253 nt
Filed under: uncultured bacterium
Lineage: Bacteria
Description: partial 16S ribosomal RNA
Rfam family: Bacterial small subunit ribosomal RNA
Source: RNAcentral